CGCUGGCGGCAGGCCCAACACAUGCAAGUCGAGCGGUAGAGAGAAGCUUGCUUCUCUUGAGAGCGGCGGACGGGUGAGUAAUGCCUAGGAAUCUGCCUGGUAGUGGGGGAUAACGUUCGGAAACGGACGCUAAUACCGCAUACGUCCUACGGGAGAAAGCAGGGGACCUUCGGGCCUUGCGCUAUCAGAUGAGCCUAGGUCGGAUUAGCUAGUUGGUGAGGUAAUGGCUCACCAAGGCGACGAUCCGUAACUGGUCUGAGAGGAUGAUCAGUCACACUGGAACUGAGACACGGUCCAGACUCCUACGGGAGGCAGCAGUGGGGAAUAUUGGACAAUGGGCGAAAGCCUGAUCCAGCCAUGCCGCGUGUGUGAAGAAGGUCUUCGGAUUGUAAAGCACUUUAAGUUGGGAGGAAGGGUUGUAGAUUAAUACUCUGCAAUUUUGACGUUACCGACAGAAUAAGCACCGGCU
Molecule: ribosomal RNA, 469 nt
Filed under: uncultured bacterium
Lineage: Bacteria
Description: bacterial SSU rRNA
Rfam family: Bacterial small subunit ribosomal RNA
Source: RNAcentral